This 340-nucleotide long non-coding RNA is filed under the name Elaeis guineensis (African oil palm). RNAcentral describes it as "long non-coding RNA (EGUI_LNC052380)". Lineage: Eukaryota; Viridiplantae; Streptophyta; Magnoliopsida; Arecales; Arecaceae. The record is from RNAcentral.
UGCUUUCUCUCUAUUUCAUUCUGGCAAAUCUCUGCUUCCUGGAUCAGCUACUCCCCUACCAUUGCAGUCGCUAGGGUGAAGUCCUCCAAUCAUGUUCUCCGACCCAACGAUCUUCAAGUCCUCAAGAUUUCAUUUUCCAGUUGGUGUGAUAGAUACAAUAAAUAUGACAAAAGAAGUAUUAAAAUAUUUAAUAUUUAUUAUUUAGUAUUUGAUGCUUCUUAUAUUUUUUUUAGAAAUAAUUAAUUAUCUAGACUUAAUCCUAUACCAAGUCAAAUACAUGCAGAUAAAAUCCAAACUUAAGCUUGAUGAAAUCUACUUUAAAGCUCAAGAAGGGACAUGC